Drosophila gunungcola (fruit fly) is the source of this 1647-nucleotide long non-coding RNA. RefSeq lists it as uncharacterized. The record is from RefSeq and is a predicted model, not a curated record. NCBI's taxonomy places the organism in Eukaryota, Metazoa, Arthropoda, Insecta, Diptera, Drosophilidae. The transcript has 4 exons.
AAAUAAAUUAAAUAAAGUUUUUUUAUAUAUUAAACUUAUGGUUCGGAAAUUUAAUUAUGUAUAUAUUUUGAUUUAUAAGUGGUAAUCGAGUUUCGUUGCUAUAUGAAUACAAUUUAAGAGGUGCUGAAUUACGGUAGGGUGCUUUUCAGUCAGGAAUUCGGCCGAUACUUAAGUCCCCAUACAAAAAAAUUAAUCCCUAUGGGAGUAGAGCCUAUUGACUGCGGUUCCUAACUGGAACAGGCUACUCCUAGCACGGAUCUGUCCGAACCAAUUCCCACCCGUCGUCGGAAGUCAGGCUGGCUACCUAUAUACCUAUAAAACUGGCUUGGUAGUGGUCCAGUCUUGCUGUCGAUUAUUUCUAUGAGCGAUAAAUUAUAAUAUAAUGACCAUAAUGUAUUCGACAUCGAUGUCCGGCCUGGGAUCCUCAACAUUUUUCCCAUUUCUCUGGACUUGAGCUUCACAGGAAACCGGGCAUAGACUAGUGCAACCGGCAGCGUCGUCCAGAGGAACUUAGAUCGUCCACCCGCCUAAAUACUGCAUUUUGAUGCUUCAAGGAAAAGAAGUUGGGCGCCAUUUCUGUUACGUAGGCCUAUUAGUGCCCAGUCCAAUGGACAUGAGCCGAGGAAGAAGCGUCCGAUGCUCAAUCACCUUCUGCCGGCGUAAGCGUCGUCGUGGCUUCUUACCUCUCCAACAUAACCAGAAAACAAUAUUUAAUGUGCCUAAAUCAGCGCGAGCCAUGCAAUCUUUAUUUUAAUGUAUUAUUUUUAAUAUAUUUGAAAUUCAUUCAUGUGUUUUAUUUUCCUGCAAUCGUUGUUGCUGCAGUUGUUGUUGAAUUUAACACUCAAGGACAAAAAUAUCCUUGACCCAAAGAUCGAAGACGAAUUAACCAAUUUUAGGUAUCCACUCGAAUAAGCCUUUAGAUUUUCGCAAGGUCCUGGUCCUUUACAAGUCCAUAAGAUCGCUAUCACUUUUACAGCGCGAUGUCACUCGGAUAUUUCGGCGGUUCACAGUUGUUCUUUUCAUUUUUUCCUUGAUCUGCAGUCCCCUUAUAAAGGUUUCUGAGUGCCAAGAGUGGUAAGAGGUGAAUUUCGUUCCUAUGAAAUGCCCGUUCAGCCCCAAAUCUGUUCUCUUCAAUGCAUCCAGAUCAAAUACUCCGGUGUGAAGUCGAAUUCAGGCCAUUUGGGUACAAAAGUCUUCUAGACUUGUGAAACUAGGGUAUUGACCUUUAUGAGCAAUUCACUUCGCUUGUGCUUUGUGAAAUUCCAUGGUCUUACGUAAAUGUGCUUGGUCGAACCCCCGGUUACCCGUCAUGUUGUAAAGUCAGCUUUCUUUCUGCCACACUGGGAAAAAUGUAACAGCUUUAUCGCAAUAGAUUUUGUAUUUGGGUGGAAAUCUAGUUAGACUCGCUUACCUGGACGUGAAAUUUAAAUUCUCCGUUGAGAACUGAAGUUCAAAUUUGUGAUGGGAUACGCAAUUGGCGUUCCAGGAGCAUUCUUUCAGGGGAGUCCUUUACACUGACGUUGAAGUAGUUAUUGUUGUAAUUGAUGCAACGGUAGUUACUAAGGGCUCCGUACUAUAGGAGGGGAGAUGUGCAUUGCGAGCUCCAUGACAGAGCAGCGGCAGCGCUGCUUGGGUAUUAAAGUCGGG